AAGAAAUAACAUUUACAAAUGAGUGUGGACAUUUCUCCUCUGUAAGCAGAUAAAAUAUGAGAUCAGACAUUUCUCAGUGAAAGCAGUGGAUUAUUUGGCAGCUGGUUGCUGAGGACAAAAAAUGAUGGCAAUCUGGGCUUUUCCCUUGGUCUCCCUUUGCACUACACUUGCUUCUUGCAACAAAAGACAAUAGGAAGGGAGAACAGAGAAAACAGAAAGAUGGAAAGAAGGAAGGAAGGAAGGAAAUAAAGAAAGAGUUUAACUCCUGGUAGUGAGCCCCCCAGAAUGGUUUGCAUUAUGACAAAACUGAACCAUGAGUUGCUGAUCAGUGAAAGAACAGAUAUCUGACUAUAGGUAAGUUAUCAAGUUAAGUAAAUUAUGGGAUUAAUAAGUAAUGAAAUUGUGCCCUUGUGGGAUUUAUCUAUUCUCCAUUCCAUAGUGUAUCACUUGAAAAUAUUUUUAUUUCAAUCUACCUUAAUGCUGUGCUUGGCUUUUGUUUUUCAAAAGCCAUCAGAGCUGAUGAGAUGGUUUUUAUGAUACAGAGUGUACC
Gallus gallus (chicken) is the source of this 550-nucleotide long non-coding RNA. The record is from Ensembl. NCBI's taxonomy places the organism in Eukaryota, Metazoa, Chordata, Aves, Galliformes, Phasianidae.